Molecule: transfer RNA, 83 nt
Filed under: Pan troglodytes (chimpanzee)
Lineage: Eukaryota; Metazoa; Chordata; Mammalia; Primates; Hominidae
Rfam family: tRNA
About the family: Transfer RNA (tRNA) molecules are approximately 80 nucleotides in length. Their secondary structure includes four short double-helical elements and three loops (D, anti-codon, and T loops).
Source: Rfam by way of RNAcentral
GUCAGGGUGGCCGAGCUGUCUAAGGCGCUGCAUUCAGGUCGCAGCCUCCCCUGGAGUUAUGGGUUCAAUUCUCACUUCUGACA